UUUGACUUUGUUGUCGGAGGCUUGGACUUGGAGGUCAUGUCGGCUCUCGUAGUCGACUCCUCUGAAAUGCAUUAGUGCGAACGUUACCAGCCGCUUCAGCGUGAUAAUUAUCUGCGUUGCUGUGGAGGGUAUGCUAGUGUUCGCGCUUCUAACCGUCUUCGGACAACAUUUCUAAACUC
RNAcentral lists this unclassified non-coding RNA (179 nucleotides) under Bjerkandera adusta. RNAcentral's name for it is "ITS2". The record is from RNAcentral. Lineage: Eukaryota; Fungi; Basidiomycota; Agaricomycetes; Polyporales; Phanerochaetaceae.